Molecule: non-coding RNA, 216 nt
Organism: Pelobates cultripes (western spadefoot toad)
Lineage: Eukaryota; Metazoa; Chordata; Amphibia; Anura; Pelobatidae
Source: the annotation of a GenBank genome assembly
GGGAGGGAGUGACUAGUGACAGAGUGAGGGAGCGGGUGACACAGUGACAGAGAGAGGGAUGGGGUGACUAGUGACAGUCACCCCCUCCCUCUGUCACUAGUCACUCCCUCCCUCUGUUACUAGUCACUCCCUCACUCUGUCACCAGUCAUCCCCUCACUCUGUCACCAGUCACCCCUUCCCUCCCUCACUCUGCCACUAGUCAUCUUUUCCCUCCC